GAAAAGGUAAAUGUGGCAAGUUAAUGUGGGAGUAUUGUGUGCUAUAUGGUACAAAAUCAUAUUUGAGAAUUUUGUUAACCUGCAAUUAAUAAAAGAGUAUGUUUGAUUUUCAAUAAUUUGAUGAUUUGUAGCUGCAAGAAAAAAGUCAUUUUGUUGUUUCAUGAUAACAGUGACUGGAUCUGGUCCAUACACAUUUUUUUUCCCAAAAUAGAAAGUUAGUAAAUAAUCUAUUCAAAUGAAUGGAGUAGAUUGUUUACUAGUUCUGUGCGCAUAACUAAUGCAAAUGGAGAUGAAUAUUGUAAAAACAAUAUAGAACUCAAUUUUACAUUAAAGCUUGAAGAAAUGAGCAACAACUGUUGGUUGGCCUACGAGCUUUGUACUUGUACAUCAAUAUCUUUGAGUCUUUAUUGUGCAUGAUGAAACUUCAAUGCAGAACGUGAUAUUGAAGUAAAAAAAAUCCGGUCCUGGGCCUCCUGGCAAACUUUUCCCUGCAUUUUCUUGAUUUUCUGAGAUGCUCCUAGACAUAAUUCUGAAGUCAUGGAAAAACAGAAGUAGGAUGUCUUGCAUGGUUGUUUUACUCCAACUUUCUGCUUCUUUCAGGU
RNAcentral lists this unclassified non-coding RNA (602 nucleotides) under Hevea brasiliensis (rubber tree). Lineage: Eukaryota; Viridiplantae; Streptophyta; Magnoliopsida; Malpighiales; Euphorbiaceae. The record is from RNAcentral.